Molecule: ribosomal RNA, 395 nt
Filed under: Protaspa sp.
Lineage: Eukaryota; Cercozoa; Thecofilosea; Cryomonadida; Protaspidae
Description: partial small subunit ribosomal RNA
Rfam family: Eukaryotic small subunit ribosomal RNA
Source: RNAcentral
AUUCCAGCUCCAAGAGCGUAUAUUAAAGUUGUUGCAGUUAAAAAGCUCGUAGUUGGAUUUCUGGUAUAAUGCGCCUGGCCCGCUCCGUUUCGGAGUGAGUGCCGGUGCGCGUUUGCCAUCCUUCUAGAAAAUGUUUCUACCCUUCGCUGGGCCGGAUUCACGAUCUAGAUCUUUUACUUUGAAAAAAUUAGAGUGUUUAAAGCAGGCUUUUGCUAUGAAUACAUUAGCAUGGAAUAAUAAUCUAGGACUUCGGUUCUAUUUUGUUGGUUUCUAGUACUGAAGUAAUGAUUGAUAGGGAUAGUUGGGGGUGCUAGUAUUGACCGGCCAGAGGUGAAAUUCUUGGAUUCGGUCAAGACUAACUUAUGCGAAAGCAUUCACCAAGGAUGUCUUCAUCA